RNAcentral lists this ribosomal RNA (241 nucleotides) under uncultured Staphylococcus sp. Its description in RNAcentral is "partial 16S ribosomal RNA". It matches the Rfam family "Bacterial small subunit ribosomal RNA", at positions 100 to 334 of the family's 1533-position model. The record is from RNAcentral. Lineage: Bacteria; Bacillati; Bacillota; Bacilli; Caryophanales; Staphylococcaceae.
GGGACGGGUGAGUAACACGUGGAUAACCUACCUAUAAGACUGGGAUAACUUCGGGAAACCGGAGCUAAUACCGGAUAAUAUAUUGAACCGCAUGGUUCAAUAGUGAAAGACGGUUUUGCUGUCACUUAUAGAUGGAUCCGCGCCGCAUUAGCUAGUUGGUAAGGUAACAGCUUACCAAGGCAACGAUGCGUAGCCGACCUGAGAGGGUGAUCGGCCACACUGGAACUGAGACACGGUCCAG